Molecule: small nuclear RNA, 321 nt
Filed under: Jaculus jaculus (lesser Egyptian jerboa)
Lineage: Eukaryota; Metazoa; Chordata; Mammalia; Rodentia; Dipodidae
Description: 7SK RNA (ENSJJAG00000006284.1)
Rfam family: 7SK RNA
About the family: 7SK was discovered as an abundant small nuclear RNA in the mid-70s but a possible function has only recently been suggested. Two independent studies have found that 7SK RNA binds the CDK9/cyclin T complex (known as elongation factor P-TEFb).
Source: Rfam by way of RNAcentral
GGAUGAGAGGACGAUCUGGCUGCGACAUCUGUCCCCUCACUGAUCACCAGGGUAGAUUUGGCUGACCUGGCUGGCUAGGCGGGUGUCCCCUUCCUCCCUCACCGCUCCAUGUGCAUUCCCUCCCAAGCUGUGCGCUUGGUUGAAGAAGAUGACCUUCCCCAAGUAGAGGAGAACUGGUCAUUGGUCAAGGGUAUACGAGAAGCUGUGCUCCCUUGCUAGAACCUCCAAACAAGCUCUCUCAAAUACAAAUGGAGAGAAGAAUAGAGGUUUAGAACUUAGAAGAUACAACUGUUUAAAAAGUGUUAGCUUCUAUUUUUAAUU